CAUUUUUAAAUCAAUCACUUUGUCUCUGCACAAUGAACAUUAUCAAAUAUUAUUAAUGUUGUAAAAUAUAUUGUUCAUUGUUAGUUCAUAUUAGCUAAGGCAUUACCAAAUGUUAAGGAAUAAACUAUUGUAGUAAAGUGUUACUAAAUUUUUUUUUUACCAUUUCCUUCACAAUGUCUACUUAUUUCUAUGGCUAACAGAUUUUGUAACAUUUGUCUUUUUUACAGUCUUACCAUUGCUUGUAAGUCGGAUUGGGUAAGAUGGAUCAUCUUUAAAGGAACCAGGCAAGUACAUGAUGUACAGUUACAAGUCAUGUAUUUUUUUGACUGCAAUAUUAAAUGCUUUCACGUCACAUGUAAAAGUACAAAGGGAAUGUGGCUAAUCACUUUUUAUUUGUAGUUUACAUGAGUGUCAUUGCACUUUUCAGGAGUUAAGGCAGAUGUGGAGGCACAACGGGUGACACCAGACACACACCAAGCACAUUGUUCGGACAUUCAAUCAUGACAGGAUCCAGGUGGAUGCUGUCCAUUGAGGAAAGAGUUUGUUCAGCGGUUUCUGGAUAGAAUUAAUUCCAAAGAUGGGAAAAAGUGCACAUCCAGACAAGUAGCAAGCAAAAAGACAAGGAACUUGGUGCAGAGAAAAGCUGUGGCCAUAAACCCCCAUGUGAACAGCUUCAUGCAGUCCCUGAUUGAGUUCGAAUGGACGACUUCAA
Paramisgurnus dabryanus is the source of this 712-nucleotide long non-coding RNA. RefSeq lists it as uncharacterized. NCBI's taxonomy places the organism in Eukaryota, Metazoa, Chordata, Actinopteri, Cypriniformes, Cobitidae. The record is from RefSeq and is a predicted model, not a curated record.